Molecule: ribosomal RNA, 505 nt
Filed under: uncultured bacterium
Lineage: Bacteria
Description: bacterial SSU rRNA
Rfam family: Bacterial small subunit ribosomal RNA
Source: RNAcentral
AGAGUUUGAUCAUGGCUCAGAUUGAACGCUGGCGGCAUGCCUUACACAUGCAAGUCGAACGGCAGCGCGGACUUCGGUCUGGCGGCGAGUGGCGAACGGGUGAGUAAUACAUCGGAACGUACCCUGUUGUGGGGGAUAACUAGUCGAAAGAUUAGCUAAUACCGCAUACGACCUGAGGGUGAAAGUGGGGGACCGCAAGGCCUCACGCAGCAGGAGCGGCCGAUGUCUGAUUAGCUAGUUGGUGGGGUAAAGGCCCACCAAGGCGACGAUCAGUAGCUGGGUCUGAGAGGACGAUCAGCCACACUGGGACUGAGACACGGCCCAGACUCCUACGGGAGGCAGCAGUGGGGAAUUUUGGACAAUGGGGGCAACCCUGAUCCAGCAAUGCCGCGUGUGUGAAGAAGGCCUUCGGGUUGUAAAGCACUUUUGUCCGGAAAGAAAUCGCGCUGGUUAAUACCUGGCGUGGAUGACGGUACCGGAAGAAUAAGCAUCGGCUAACUACGUG